Molecule: ribosomal RNA, 440 nt
Filed under: uncultured bacterium
Lineage: Bacteria
Description: partial 16S ribosomal RNA
Rfam family: Bacterial small subunit ribosomal RNA
Source: RNAcentral
CCUACGGGAGGCAGCAGUGGGGAAUAUUGCACAAUGGGGGAAACCCUGAUGCAGCGACGCCGCGUGAGUGAAGAAGUACUUCUUUAUGUAAAGCUCUAUCAGCAGGGAAGAAAAUGACGGUACCUGAGUAAGACGCCCCGGCUAACUACGUGCCAGCAGCCGCGGUAAUACGUAGGGGGCACGCGGUAUCCGGAUUUACUGGGUGUAAAGGGAGCGUAGACGGCAGUGCAAUUCUGGAGGGAAAGGCGGGGGCUCAACCCCAGGACAGCGCUGGAAACUGGACGUCUGGAGUGCAGGAGAGGUAAGUGGAAUGCCUAGUGUAGCGGUGAAAUGCGUAGAUAUUAGGAGGAACACCAGUGGCGAAGGCGGCUUACUGGACUGUAACUGACGUUGAGGCUCGAAAGCGUGGGGAGCAAACAGGAUUAGAUACCCGAGUAGUC